CUCCCCUCUCCCCAAUCAAAAUCGGAAAAAGCGCGGGCUUUUCCUCGCAUUAAGGAUCUCUCUCUUCCUUUCAUUUUCUUUGAAUUUUCUGUAAAAUCUAAAAAAAAAAUAAGAUCUUAAAUUCACAAAAGGGAUUGCAGAAUUCCAGAUAGAAAAAAAAAAAAUCCCGUUUUCCUCUUCUAUGAAGAAAAUAAAUACGUAAAACAGGAAUUUUUCUUUUUUCUCCCCUUUUCUCCUUUUUCCUAGGGUUUUGAGCUGUGAAGAAUCGAAAUCUGUCAAAUCUAUUUUCUUUCUUUUUUGUUUUUUUUCCCUCUGAGAAGCGAUGAAGUUUGGAGAGACUUUCACGGAGUAUCUCCACGGAGAUCAGGAGCGGUUUCUUGAUAAAUGCUCGCACGUCCCAUACAAGCGGCUGAAGAAGGUUCUCAAGAGCUGUCGGAUCUGCCGCGCGUCAGCAUCUUCGUCUGCAGCGCAGGACGUGGACGAAGAGAAGAGUGGCGGUGAAUUGUCGCACUGCCGGUGUGAAUCUUGUCCACUGUGUGAUCAGAUGUUCUUUUCUGAAUUGACAAAGGAGGCUUCUGCAAUAGCUGGCUGUUUUAGUUCAAGAGUAAGGCACCUCCUACAUCUUCACGUGUCCACUGGAUUGUUGAGAUACAUGUGGCGCCUGCGACAUUGUUUCACGGAUGAUCAGCAAACCAUGGUCAAAGAAGGGCAGUUAUUAAUUGAAUAUGUUACAAUGAACGCCAUUGCCAUACGGAAAAUUCUAAAGAAAUAUGAUAAAGUGCAUUGUUCUGUAAAUGGCAGAAAUUUCAAGACCAAGAUGCAGGCGAAACACAUAGAACUUUUGCAGUCACCUUGGCUUAUAGAACUGGGCGCAUUCUAUCUAAAUUGCCGUGGGUCAGAUGAUGGAGAAUCUGGGCAGUUCUUCAGUAAAUUCUCUUGUGAUCUCAGUGAUACUCGAUCCGUAAUGACAUUGACACUUUCAGACUCUGUUAAGCUUGAGUACAGUCUGACCUGUGCUAUUUGCUUGGACAUUGUUUUCAAUCCUUAUGCUCUGAGCUGUGGUCAUCUUUUCUGUAAAGGCUGUGUUUGUUCUGCAGCUUCUGUUCUACUUUUCGAAGGCCUUAAGGCUGCACAUCCAGAAUCAAAGUGUCCUAUUUGUAGAGCGGUUGGAGUAUAUGCUGAUUCAGUACACAUGACAGAACUGGAUUUGCUCUUGAAGAAUAGAUGCAAAGCUUACUGGAAAGAGAGGAUGCGAAGUGAGCGGGCCGAGAUGGUGAAGCAAUCUAAAAUGUAUUGGGAUUCCCAGACGAAAUUCGCAAUUGGGUACUAGCAUCAGCGGCUUUUUUCUUUUGGUUCUUGAGAAGUGAAAGCUGCAAAGAGAAGGGGCUAUGCUAGUAGAAGAUGACAUGGGUCUUGAUGACCUUUUCAUAUUUUGAGGAGGCAAGCUGUGCUCUGUCAAGUGGGCCCCAAAAUUCAGGUGAGCCUCUAUGGGGGAUGAUGAGUUGCCAUAUUUUAUAAAGUUGUAGUGAAAAAUGCAUAGUCAUGUCAUGUAUUAUGGUGAAAAAUUAUGUGAAGUUGAUCAUACCCAUACAUCUGACUGUUCACAUGGAAAACAGUUAUGUCAGUUCAAAUUGUUAGCCCUGCUGUGGAUGGAGAAUAGCCUGAAAAUUGGGCUUUGUGGAUAUUGAAUUUCAAGAAAUCCCUGUUUGCCCUUCGAAA
RNA transcript from Magnolia sinica, 1719 nucleotides. It is a transcript of the gene named probable E3 ubiquitin-protein ligase BAH1-like 1, with no coding region annotated. NCBI's taxonomy places the organism in Eukaryota, Viridiplantae, Streptophyta, Magnoliopsida, Magnoliales, Magnoliaceae. The record is from RefSeq and is a predicted model, not a curated record. The transcript has 7 exons.